AUCAGAUUCAAUCUCGGAUGAAGGAGAAAUUGGAAGAAACAUCUGGCUCCUUCGCAGAUGCAUUUCGAAGAAGGAAUUUUGAUGAAGCUGUGACUUGUAUGCAGAGGAUGACUUACUAUCAGCGUGCAAGUGAAGAAAUUUUAAAGAAGCUUUGAUUGAGGUUCAUGCUGCUCUUGCAAUGUUAUUAUGGGAUUUGCAACCUUAAAGAUUAAGGAGAUGGUAACAACGGAUGUAUGAUAUGAUUGAACAUGUGGUUGAAGGCUUCUUAAUAAUAUGCAAGUUAAAACACACA
Long non-coding RNA from Hibiscus syriacus, 292 nucleotides. RefSeq lists it as uncharacterized. The transcript is spliced from 4 exons. NCBI's taxonomy places the organism in Eukaryota, Viridiplantae, Streptophyta, Magnoliopsida, Malvales, Malvaceae. The record is from RefSeq and is a predicted model, not a curated record.